GCAGCCCAUAUGGGAUUGAUUGUGUUUACCCAUGUUCUACCCAUAUGGUUUGACCAAGAGGGCCCCAUAUGUGUUUCCCCAUUCAGAACCCAUAUAGAGGUAGCCUUUUUGGGUACUACCUUGGGCCCAUGCAGGCAGCCUAUAUGGGACUGAUUGUGUCUGCCCAUUUUUUACCCAUAUGGUUUGACCAAGAGGGCCCCAUAUGUGUUUCCCCAUUCAGAACCCAUACAGAGGUAGCCUUUGUGGGUACUACCUUGGGCCCAUGUAGGCAGCCUAUAUGGGACUGAUUGUGUCUGCCCAUUUUUUACCCAUAUGGUUUGACCAAGAGGGCC
This is a long non-coding RNA of Labeo rohita (rohu), 332 nucleotides long. RefSeq lists it as uncharacterized. The transcript has 3 exons. Lineage: Eukaryota; Metazoa; Chordata; Actinopteri; Cypriniformes; Cyprinidae. The record is from RefSeq and is a predicted model, not a curated record.